UGCAUAUCAAAAAAGCGGAGCAAAAGAAACCAACAGGGAUUGCCCCAGUAACGGCGAGUGAAGCGGCAACAGCCACAAAUUUGAAAUCUGGCCCCCCGGCCCGAGUUGUAAUUUGGAGAGGAUGCUUUUGGCGCGGCGCCGUCCGAGUUCCUUGGAACAGGACUCCACAGAGGGUGAGAGCCCCGUACGGACGGACGCCUAGCCUUUACAAAGCUCCUUAGAGGAGUUGAGUAGUUUGGGAAUGUUGCUCAAAAUGGGAGGUAAAUUUGUUAUAAAGUUAAAUACCGGCCAGAGACCGAUAGCGCACAAGUAGAGUGAUCGAAAGAAGAAAAGCACUUUGAAAAGAGGGUUAAAAAGUACGUGAAAUUGUUGAAAGGGAAGCACCUGUGACCAGACUUGCGCCCCGUGGACCACCCGGCGUUCUCGCCGGUGCACUCCGCGGGGCGCAGGCCAGCAUCGGUUUUCCUAGGGGGACAAAGGCCGCGGGAACGUAGCUCCUUCGGGAGUGUUAUAGCCCGCGGCGGCAUGCCCCUGGGGGGACCGAGGACCGCGCUUCGGCAAGGAUACGACGUAUCACA
RNAcentral lists this ribosomal RNA (578 nucleotides) under Trichosporon japonicum. Its description in RNAcentral is "partial large subunit ribosomal RNA". It matches the Rfam family "Eukaryotic large subunit ribosomal RNA", at positions 37 to 623 of the family's 3401-position model. The record is from RNAcentral. Lineage: Eukaryota; Fungi; Basidiomycota; Tremellomycetes; Trichosporonales; Trichosporonaceae.